AACUGUUGCAGCAGCAGGAUUUACUGCCUGAGCGAAGGUCUCUGGGGCCUUCAUGGCAUAGCUCUGUUUGGUCUGGAUGGAGGAAGAGCUUGCCGCAGACGAUCCUUUCUCCAGAGGCAAAUUUGUCUUGAGGUCUACCAAUUUUGUGGGCAUUGGUGGAGAUAAUUUGGGAAAUUGUAUUUCUGUCAAAGCAGAGAAUCGGUUGGGAGUUUCUGUCUUGACGGUCGGCCUCUGUGGUACUGUGGGCCGUAAAGGAUUUGAGGCUGGAUUUGGAGAAUCGAAUGGUCUAGCCAUUCUUUGUUGUUCCGUCUUGGGGCUGUUGCCCGGCAGUGUUGGUCUCAUGGCCCUGUAGAAAUUCUCUUGUCAGAAAAUCGGGAAGGGAAUUGUGUUCUCCUUUUAUGAAUUCAAUUUGAAAAUCAAAGCUAGAUAGGAGAGCUUGCCAUCUAGCAAAUAUUUGUUUUGAAACGAGAUUUUUAACAUCUUUUUGUAAAAUCUCUUUGGCUGAUUUACAAUCAACUCUUAGAAGAAANNNN
RNAcentral lists this long non-coding RNA (533 nucleotides) under Capsicum annuum. RNAcentral describes it as "long non-coding RNA (CANN_LNC007507)". The record is from RNAcentral. Lineage: Eukaryota; Viridiplantae; Streptophyta; Magnoliopsida; Solanales; Solanaceae.